CCUACGGGUGGCAGCAGUGGGGAAUAUUGCACAAUGGGGGAAACCCUGAUGCAGCGACGCCGCGUGAGUGAAGAAGUAAUUCGUUAUGUAAAGCCCUAUCAGCAGGGAAGAAAAUGACGGUACCUGACUAAGCAGCCCCGGCUAACUACGUGCCAGCAGCCGCGGUAAUACGUAGGGGGCAAGCGUUAUCCGGAGUUACUGGGUGUAAAGGGAGCGUAGACGGCAGUGCAAGUCUGGAGUGAAAGGCGGGGGGUCAACCCCCGGACUGCUGUGGAAACUGUACGGCUGGAGUGCAGGAGAGGUAAGUGGAAUUCCUAGUGUAGCGGUGAAAUGCGUAGAUAUCAGGAGGAACACCAGUGGCGAAGGCGGCUUACUGGACCGUAACUGACGUUGAGGCUCGAAAGCGUGGGGAGCAAACAGGAUUAGAUACCCUGGUAGUC
Molecule: ribosomal RNA, 440 nt
Filed under: uncultured bacterium
Lineage: Bacteria
Description: partial 16S ribosomal RNA
Rfam family: Bacterial small subunit ribosomal RNA
Source: RNAcentral